RNAcentral lists this ribosomal RNA (308 nucleotides) under uncultured bacterium. Its description in RNAcentral is "bacterial SSU rRNA". It matches the Rfam family "Bacterial small subunit ribosomal RNA", at positions 30 to 334 of the family's 1533-position model. The record is from RNAcentral.
AUUGAACGCUGGCGGCAGGCUUAACACAUGCAAGUCGAGCGGAAACGAUUCUAGCUUGCUAGAAGGCGUCGAGCGGCGGACGGGUGAGUAAUGCAUGGGAAUCUGCCCGAUAGUGGGGGACAACCUGGGGAAACUCAGGCUAAUACCGCAUACGUCCUACGGGAGAAAGCAGGGGAUCUUCGGACCUUGCGCUAUCGGAUGAGCCCAUGUCGGAUUAGCUUGUUGGUGAGGUAACGGCUCACCAAGGCGACGAUCCGUAGCUGGUCUGAGAGGAUGAUCAGCCACACUGGGACUGAGACACGGCCCAG